Molecule: long non-coding RNA, 628 nt
Organism: Ictalurus punctatus (channel catfish)
Lineage: Eukaryota; Metazoa; Chordata; Actinopteri; Siluriformes; Ictaluridae
Source: Ensembl
GUUAUAACGAGGCUGAGGGGCAGUAAUGAGGUUGAGGGGCAGUAAUGAGGCUGAGGAGUUGUAACGAGGCUGAGGGGUAGUAAUCAGGCUGAAGGGCAUUAAUGACGCUGAGGAGUUGUAACGAGGCUGAGGGGCAGUAAUGAGGCUGAGGGGCAGUAAUGAGGCUGAGGAGUUAUAAUGAGACUGAGGAGUUUUUUUUAAGCUGAGGGCUGGUAAUAAGUCUGACAGAAGUAAUGAGGCUGGGGCAGUAAUGCGGCUGGGGCAGUAAUGAGUCUUGGGGCAGUAAUGAGGCUGGGGCAGUAAUGAGUCUUGGGGCAGUAAUGAGGCUGGGGCAGUAAUGAGUCUUGGGGAAGUAAUGAGUCUUGGGGCUGUAAUGAGUCUUGCGGCAGUAAUAAGGCUGGGGCAGUAAUGAGUCUUGGGGCAGUAAUGAGUCUUGGGUCAUAAUGAGUCUGGGGCAGUAAUGAGUCUUGAGGCAGUAAUGAGACUGGGGCAGUAAUGAGUCUGGGGCAGUAAUGAGUCUUGGGGCAGUAAUGAGUCUGGGGCAGUAAUGAGUCUUGGGGCAGUAAUGAGUCUUGAGGCAGUAAUGAGACUGGGGCAGUAAUGAGUCUGGGGCAGUAAUGAGUCUUGG